AACAAGCCAAGCCCAAUAAACCAAAGGAUCAAAACCAUAUCGCAGUUUGGGCUAGGGACUACCCAAGGAACUAGGUCGUAUGCAAUGGGCUUGCAACUUUUCUUCUUAUCCCAGCUCACUGUCCAAGCCCGGCGUGUCAAAGACCCAGCUUCAAAGCAAUGCCGUUUCAAGCACAACAAAAGCUCCUUUCUUGUUCCUGAUUCUUUAAAACGCCACCGUUUUGUGACAAAACCCUAACCAGAAAACCGUUCGUUCCCUCCCUUUCCUUCCUCCUUCUUCCGGCCUCCUCUUCUCCCUAUUCUAAACUUACCUAUAUCUCUCCGCCAAUCUCACAGCCGCGGUCACAACCGUUCACUAUCGCCGAUCUACUUUCUCCUUUCUAAAAACUUACAACGCCAGAGCACUCCCAAGCUCCUAAAUCAUCCCGAGCACCUAUUGCUUGCUGCAUUGCUUGUGCUUUUUUUUUUGUUGCUUUUUUUGUUUGUUUUUGUGGUAUAAUGUCGACUGCUAGAGAAGAAAAGAAAAAGACUAGGGUUUCUCUGUCUACUUUUUCUUUUGGUUUUCUAGGGUUUUG
Molecule: long non-coding RNA, 574 nt
Filed under: Theobroma cacao (cacao)
Lineage: Eukaryota; Viridiplantae; Streptophyta; Magnoliopsida; Malvales; Malvaceae
Description: long non-coding RNA (TCAC_LNC006319)
Source: RNAcentral